This 150-nucleotide unclassified non-coding RNA is filed under the name plant metagenome. RNAcentral's name for it is "partial contains 5.8S ribosomal RNA, internal transcribed spacer 2, and large subunit ribosomal RNA". The record is from RNAcentral.
CUCAAGAGGCGACAGAUUGUUGAGGUUGUUACAAGAGCAACCCAGUGUCUCCAUUGUUACUACCCGCCAAUGCCUGCAACCGCAACAGACACCCAGCUUUGGCACACUCCCCUCUUGUACAAUUCUUCGCAUCGGCAAUCAACACGGCGC